AUCGAGAUAUUUUGUCUUUUGCGAUACACUUUCAAAGAGUCAGGUUGUUUGGGAAUGCAGCCUAAAUUGGGUGGUAAAUCUCACCUAAAGCUAAAUAUUGGCGAGAAACCGAUAGCGAACAAGUACCGUGAGGGAAAGAUGAAAAGAACUUUGAAAAGAGAGUUAAACAGUAUGUGAAAUUGUUAAAAGGGAACCGUUUGGAGCCAGACUGGCUUGUCUGUAAUCAAUCUAGGUUUCGUGCCUGGAUGCACUUGCAGACUAUUUGCCUGCCAACGACAAUUUUUUUUGAGUGUAAAAACUAUUGGAAAUGUGGCCAAUAUUUAUUUAUUGGUGUUAUAGUCCUUUAGAAAAUACCUUGAAUUGGAUUGAGGAACGCAGCGAAUGCUUCUCUUUUGAGGCAAAGUCUUUUAUUGGGAUUUACGGAUCAGACUGUGGCAUUGUCACAAGACUUGAAGUUUAAACCUAUUUUUGAACUUUUAUUCGCU
This 485-nucleotide ribosomal RNA is filed under the name Rhizopus stolonifer. Its description in RNAcentral is "eukaryotic LSU rRNA". It matches the Rfam family "Eukaryotic large subunit ribosomal RNA", at positions 226 to 634 of the family's 3401-position model. The record is from RNAcentral. Lineage: Eukaryota; Fungi; Mucoromycota; Mucoromycetes; Mucorales; Rhizopodaceae.